UACAGAGGUCUCAAGCGUUGUUCGGAUUCAUUGGGCGUAAAGGGUGCGUAGGCGGCGCGGUAAGUCGGGUGUGAAAUCUCGGGGCUUAACUCCGAAACUGCAUUCGAUACUGCCGUGCUUGAGGACUGGAGAGGAGACUGGAAUUUACGGUGUAGCGGUGAAAUGCGUAGAUAUCAGGAGGAACACCUGUGGUGUAGACGGCUCUCUGGACCGCAACUGACGCUGAGACACGAAAGCGUGGGUAGCAAACAGG
Molecule: ribosomal RNA, 253 nt
Filed under: uncultured bacterium
Lineage: Bacteria
Description: partial 16S ribosomal RNA
Rfam family: Bacterial small subunit ribosomal RNA
Source: RNAcentral